GUGGGGAAUCUUAGACAAUGGGGGCAACCCUGAUCUAGCCAUGCCGCGUGAGUGAUGAAGGCCUUAGGGUCGUAAAGCUCUUUCGCCGGGGAAGAUAAUGACUGUACCCGGUAAAGAAACCCCGGCUAACUCCGUGCCAGCAGCCGCGGUAAUACGGAGGGGGUUAGCGUUGUUCGGAAUUACUGGGCGUAAAGCGCGCGUAGGCGGAUCGGAAAGUUGGGGGUGAAAUCCCGGGGCUCAACCCCGGAAUUGCCUUCAAAACUCCCGGUCUUGAGGUCGAGAGAGGUGAGUGGAAUUCCGAGUGUAGAGGUGAAAUUCGUAGAUAUUCGGAGGAACACCAGUGGCGAAGGCGGCUCACUGGCUCGAUACUGACGCUGAGGUGCGAAAGCGUGGGGAGCAAACAGGAUUAGAUACCCGGUAGUCC
This 424-nucleotide ribosomal RNA is filed under the name uncultured bacterium. Its description in RNAcentral is "partial 16S ribosomal RNA". It matches the Rfam family "Bacterial small subunit ribosomal RNA", at positions 354 to 796 of the family's 1533-position model. The record is from RNAcentral.